GGUUGUGGCUCAGUGGUUGAGUGCUUGCCUUGCAUGUGUGAGGCACUGGGUUUGAUCCUCAGCACCA
Molecule: transfer RNA, 67 nt
Filed under: Marmota monax (woodchuck)
Lineage: Eukaryota; Metazoa; Chordata; Mammalia; Rodentia; Sciuridae
Description: tRNA.Ala
Source: RNAcentral